Hyla sarda is the source of this 420-nucleotide long non-coding RNA. RefSeq lists it as uncharacterized. The transcript has 3 exons. NCBI's taxonomy places the organism in Eukaryota, Metazoa, Chordata, Amphibia, Anura, Hylidae. The record is from RefSeq and is a predicted model, not a curated record.
AAAGCUAACAGGACCAGUUAGAGUGAGAACGAAAAGCUAUAGUCACCUGAUUACAGUGCCCAAUACAGAGCCCUGGACCAAGGCUGUUUUAUUGCGGGCACCUGCACCUGUGCACUUUGGUUGUGCUGCUUCUUUGGAUUUCUGUGUUGUCGACUGGUCAUCUUGAAGCGUGCACCUCUUCUUUUCUUCAUUACGGACAUUACAAUUCCUGAAACCGCCCUCAGGAUUUACGAAAUGAAAAUCCACCAGGAGAGGAGGUCACAAGAACCUCCGGAGCUAUAAGAUCUCGAGCUCCCCACCAGGUGAAAAACAAACAAGGGAAACUUCAAUUCAAGAAACCAUGAAUACACCUUCAGUGGUAAAUAUUUCUUAAGUUCCGCUGUCACCCAAACAUAUUGAACUAUUGUCACUAGGCUUGAG